This 253-nucleotide ribosomal RNA is filed under the name uncultured bacterium. RNAcentral describes it as "partial 16S ribosomal RNA". It matches the Rfam family "Bacterial small subunit ribosomal RNA", at positions 524 to 776 of the family's 1533-position model. The record is from RNAcentral.
UACGUAGGGUGCAAGCGUUGUCCGGAAUUAUUGGGCGUAAAGAGCGUGUAGGCGGCCCGAUUAGUCCGCUGUGAAAGUCCAGGGCUCAACCCUGGAAUGCCGGUGGAUACUGUCGGGCUAGAGUCCGGAAGGGGCGAGUGGAAUUCCUGGUGUAGCGGUGAAAUGCGCAGAUAUCAGGAGGAACACCGAUGGCGAAGGCAGCCCCCUGGGCUGAGAUUGACGCUCAGGCACGAAAGCGUGGGGAGCAAACAGG